Molecule: ribosomal RNA, 425 nt
Filed under: Staphylococcus epidermidis
Lineage: Bacteria; Bacillati; Bacillota; Bacilli; Caryophanales; Staphylococcaceae
Description: bacterial SSU rRNA
Rfam family: Bacterial small subunit ribosomal RNA
Source: RNAcentral
UGCCCUAAUACAUGCAAGUCGAGCGAACAGACGAGGAGCUUGCUCCUCUGACGUUAGCGGCGGACGGGUGAGUAACACGUGGAUAACCUACCUAUAAGACUGGGAUAACUUCGGGAAACCGGAGCUAAUACCGGAUAAUAUAUUGAACCGCAUGGUUCAAUAGUGAAAGACGGUUUUGCUGUCACUUAUAGAUGGAUCCGCGCCGCAUUAGCUAGUUGGUAAGGUAACGGCUUACCAAGGCAACGAUGCGUAGCCGACCUGAGAGGGUGAUCGGCCACACUGGAACUGAGACACGGUCCAGACUCCUACGGGAGGCAACAGUAGGGAAUCUUCCGCAAUGGGCGAAAGCCUGACGGAGCAACGCCGCGUGAGUGAUGAAGGUCUUCGGAUCGUAAAGCUCUGUUAUGAGGGAAGAACAAGUGUGU